This 513-nucleotide ribosomal RNA is filed under the name Bryodemella tuberculata diluta. Its description in RNAcentral is "partial 12S ribosomal RNA". Lineage: Eukaryota; Metazoa; Arthropoda; Insecta; Orthoptera; Acrididae. The record is from RNAcentral.
GCGGUUACACGAUUAGUACAAUUGAAUAUUUUUGGUUAAUAUAGUUAUUAGUAUAUUUGAGUUUUAUUUUGAUUUUAUUAGGUGAAAUUUCAUUUUUUAGUAUAACUCUUUAUUAUGAACCUAUGAAACUUAAGAGAUAAACUAGGAUUAGAUACCCUAUUAUUUUAAGUGUUAAUUUAAAUUGCCUGGGUAAUAUUAGUUAGGGUCUUUAAACUCAAAGAAUUUGGCGGUAUUUCAUUCCAUUCAGAGGAACCUGUCUCGUAAUUGAUAGUACACAAUUAACUUUACUUAAUUUAUUUGUUUGUAUAUCUCCGUUAUCGGAAAAUCUUUUUGGAGUCAUAAUUUUCCUGUUUUUCCAUUAAAAAUUAUCUCAGGUCAAGGUGCAGUUUAUAGUUAAGUGUAUGAUGGGUUACAAUAAAUUUUUUUAUUAUGAAUUUGGUUUUGGAAUAUUCUAAUGAAGGUGGAUUUGAUAGUAAUUUAAUUUAUUUAAUUUAAUUGAUAUUGGCUCUGAAA